AAAAGUUCUUCUUAAGUCCAAACAAAAUUUUUAUAAUAAAAAAUAUUGUAGAGAAAAACAUUAAAAUAGACUAUUUAAAAUGAGUGUAUUUUAAGAUUACUCUAAUUUUUUAAAAUAUUUUACUUUCUUAUUGAUAAAAUGAGAAUUACUUUUGUGUGAUGGUUAUUGAUGAAGACAACAUGAAGUAACAUAACUUUAAUUGUCAAUGAUAACAUUAGUUGUAUA
This 225-nucleotide unclassified non-coding RNA is filed under the name Hevea brasiliensis (rubber tree). Lineage: Eukaryota; Viridiplantae; Streptophyta; Magnoliopsida; Malpighiales; Euphorbiaceae. The record is from RNAcentral.